AGUCGAGCGAACGGACGAGAAGCUUGCUUCUCUGAUGUUAGCGGCGGACGGGUGAGUAACACGUGGAUAACCUACCUAUAAGACUGGGAUAACUUCGGGAAACCGGAGCUAAUACCGGAUAAUAUUUUGAACCGCAUGGUUCAAAAGUGAAAGACGGUCUUGCUGUCACUUAUAGAUGGAUCCGCGCUGCAUUAGCUAGUUGGUAAGGUAACGGCUUACCAAGGCAACGAUGCAUAGCCGACCUGAGAGGGUGAUCGGCCACACUGGAACUGAGACACGGUCCAGACUCCUACGGGAGGCAGCAGUAGGGAAUCUUCCGCAAUGGGCGAAAGCCUGGCGGAGCAACGCCGCGUGAGUGAUGAAGGUCUUCGGAUCGUAAAACUCUGUUAUUAGGGAAGAACAUAUGUGUAAGUAACUGUGCACAUCUUGACGGUACCUAAUCAGAAAGCCAUGGCUAACUACGUGCCAGCAGCCGCGGUAAUACGUAGGUGGCAAGCGUUAUCCGGAAUUAUUGGGCGUAAAGCGCGCGUAGGCGGUUUUUUAAGUCUGAUGUGAAAGCCCACGGCUCAACCGUGGAGGGUCAUUGGAAACUGGAAAACUUGAGUGCAGAAGAGGAAAGUGGAAUUCCAUGUGUAGCGGUGAAAUGCGCAGAGAUAUGGAGGAACACCAGUGGCGAAGGCGACUUUCUGGUCUGUAACUGACGCUGAUGUGCGAAAGCGUGGGGAUCAAACAGGAUUA
RNAcentral lists this ribosomal RNA (738 nucleotides) under uncultured Staphylococcus sp. RNAcentral's name for it is "bacterial SSU rRNA". It matches the Rfam family "Bacterial small subunit ribosomal RNA", at positions 60 to 780 of the family's 1533-position model. The record is from RNAcentral. Lineage: Bacteria; Bacillati; Bacillota; Bacilli; Caryophanales; Staphylococcaceae.